UACGAAGGGGGCUAGCGUUGUUCGGAAUCACUGGGCGUAAAGGGCGCGUAGGCGGCUUUAUAAGUCGGGGGUGAAAGCCUGUGGCUCAACCACAGAAUUGCCUUCGAUACUGUAGAGCUUGAGACCGGAAGAGGUAAGUGGAACUGCGAGUGUAGAGGUGAAAUUCGUAGAUAUUCGCAAGAACACCAGUGGCGAAGGCGGCUUACUGGUCCGGUUCUGACGCUGAGGCGCGAAGGCCAGGGGAGCAAACGGG
Molecule: ribosomal RNA, 253 nt
Filed under: uncultured bacterium
Lineage: Bacteria
Description: partial 16S ribosomal RNA
Rfam family: Bacterial small subunit ribosomal RNA
Source: RNAcentral